This 253-nucleotide ribosomal RNA is filed under the name uncultured bacterium. RNAcentral describes it as "partial 16S ribosomal RNA". It matches the Rfam family "Bacterial small subunit ribosomal RNA", at positions 524 to 776 of the family's 1533-position model. The record is from RNAcentral.
UACGGAGGGUGCAAGCGUUAUCCGGAUUCACUGGGGUUAAAGGGUGCGUAGGAGGGCAGGUAAGUCAGUGGUGAAAUCCUAGAGCUUAACUCUAGAACUGCCGUUGAUACUAUCUGUCUUGAAUAUUGUGGAGGUGAGCGGAAUAUGUCAUGUAGCGGUGAAAUGCUUAGAUAUGACAUAGAACACCAAUUGCGAAGGCAGCUCGCUACACAUAUAUUGACUCUGAGGCACGAAAGCGUGGGGAUCAAACAGG